Fukomys damarensis (Damara mole-rat) is the source of this 670-nucleotide long non-coding RNA. RefSeq lists it as uncharacterized. NCBI's taxonomy places the organism in Eukaryota, Metazoa, Chordata, Mammalia, Rodentia, Bathyergidae. The transcript is spliced from 3 exons. The record is from RefSeq and is a predicted model, not a curated record.
UAUUCUUAGAUUAUUUUUUGGACCAUAAACUUUUGAAAGUCUAAUGUUUCCUUCAGAAACAUCAGGUUAAGAAUCUUUAGCUCAGAGAAGUGGUGAAAGGAGCCUAUCUAGUUCGCUAGGCUCCUCUUCCUUUCUGCACCCAAUAAUCCCUUAUUGCAGCUGUCUCCCCCUCAUCCUCCAUCUUCAGCUAGGGUCUUGCUCCUUUAAUGAUCUCUAAUCAUUCAGGGGAUGAUGACCUUUACCUGUGUCUUCUGGGAUUUUUCUGAGUUACUUGCCCUGCCUUAUCAGUGAAUAUAUCUAGUUUAUAAUUCACGACUCCUCCUGACCACCCCUCCUACUGCAACUUUAUGACUAUUUGAACUGACCAACAAUAAACUUUUUCCUAAUGUGCUAGAAGGAUCAACAAGAGGAACAAGUAGAAGACAGAGGACCUCCCUUCAUCUGUACUGCUGACAUAGAAAUGAAAGAGCCUUUGUGAAAGACUAUGGAGUGUGCUAUUGGCACAUACAUGAGGAUAAAAUUAUUGCAUAUUACAUAAAUAUAUCCAUGGUGUCAUUGGCUUUAAGCCCAAGAAGCUUAAAUCUAUACCAUCUGGAUGAGGAGCGCAAAUGUGCAGUGGGACAUUAGCUGCAAUAGGAACAAACUACAGAAUUGGCCUCUUGGUUCUGAG